RNAcentral lists this ribosomal RNA (468 nucleotides) under uncultured bacterium. Its description in RNAcentral is "partial 16S ribosomal RNA". It matches the Rfam family "Bacterial small subunit ribosomal RNA", at positions 28 to 507 of the family's 1533-position model. The record is from RNAcentral.
GACGAACGCUGGCGGCGUGCUUAACACAUGCAAGUCGAACGGAAAGGCCCUGCUUUUGUGGGGUGCUCGAGUGGCGAACGGGUGAGUAACACGUGAGUAACCUGCCCUUGACUUUGGGAUAACUUCAGGAAACUGGGGCUAAUACCGGAUAGGAGCUCCUGCUGCAUGGUGGGGGUUGGAAAGUUUCGGCGGUUGGGGAUGGACUCGCGGCUUAUCAGCUUGUUGGUGGGGUAGUGGCUUACCAAGGCUUUGACGGGUAGCCGGCCUGAGAGGGUGACCGGCCACAAUGGGACUUGGGAUAGGCCCAGACUCCUACGGGAGGCAGCAGUGGGGAAUAUUGCACAAUGGGCGGAAGCCUGAUGCAGCAACGCCGCGUGCGGGAUGACGGCCUUCGGGUUGUAAACCGCUUUCGCCUGUGACGAAGCGUGAGUGACGGUAAUGGGUAAAGAAGCACCGGCUAACUACGUG